CGCACGGGCUGUGGGGACUGCGGCCUGGUCUUUGUGGGGCAGUGGUGGCGGUGAGUGGAGGCUGCAGCCGGAGGAUCUGUACUGAGCGCCCAGUGUGGGCCUGCGCUGUUCCAGAUCAGAUUCUGCAGCGAGGAGGACAGGCAUGGCCGGCCUCCGUGGAGCCAAUGUUGUAUGAGGAGGCAGAUGGUUAUCAAAGGAACAAGCCAGUUGCCUGAGGAGCUGGCAUCUUAGCUGAACAGAGGGAAGGACUCAGGGAGAAUGUUUCAGGGUGAAGUCAACAAAUCAACAUUUGUCAUCUUGGUUUUUUUCAGUUCAAGGAAAGUGAGCACAGGGCAUAUCCAAAGACUUGCCACAACCCCUCACGGGGAUGGUAAUGGAAGUCAUCAGAGAAGACAUUUCAUGUGGCUCUGCCUUCCCAGACUGGUGCUCCUGAGGCCUGCUCAAGGAACCAGAACAGAAGUUCUGCUGGAGAUGUGGAGGAACAUUUGCUUUUCUGGGAAGAAGAUUUAAAGCAACAGUCAGUUCCUGACAUGGAAACUCCUAGUGUGGGGAGAGGCUGUGGAGGCAGUGAAGUUGUGAGAAGUGUCAGGAUACCUUCCAGCCCUAUCAAACAAGAGAGUGUUGCUGUGGAGAAGAAACCGCACAUGUUAGUUGCACAUGGAGGGAGCUUUGAGCAAGUUCCAGGGCCAGCUGUGUUGUAGGCAGCCUGUGUGAACAGGAUACCCUGAAGGUGCAGCUUCUGUGGGAAGAGUUUCAAGCAGCACUUGGCCCUCAGUGUGCACGAGAGGACUCACACGGGGAAAAGCCCUAUCCAUGCAGCACCUGUGUGAAAGUCUUUUGGUGCUAGUCCAACCUCACUGUGCACCAGAGGAUCCACACUGGAGCGAAAUCCUACGAAUGCCAGGAGUGUGCGAAAGUCUUCAUUCAGAACUCCACACUCACACUGCACCAGAGGACCUACACCAGAGAGAAGCCACACAAAUGCAGGGAGUGGAGCAAGGCCUUCCAGGGAAGUUCAGACCUGUGGAAACACCAGCAGAUUCACACAGGGGAGAAGCACUAUGAGUGUCAGGAGUGUGGGAAAGCCUUCAGGUGGAGCUAGCCCCACAUCUGCCAUCAGAGGAUGCACAGUGGUGAGAGACCAUAUGCGUGUGGCUGGCGCAGCAAGGCCUUCAUCCAGAGCUCACAGCUUAGCCAGCACCAGCAGAGUCACAUGGGUAAGAAGCCUAUGAGUGCCCAGAGUGCAGCAAGGCCUUCAGCCUGAGCACCUACCUUGCUGAGCACUAGUGGAUCCACAUGGGCGAGAAGCCCUGUGCCUCCCUGAAGUGCGGCAAGGCCUUCAUCCAGCGCUAACACCUCAGCCAGUACCAGCGCACCCACACGGGUGAGAAGCCAUACAUGUGUGUUGAGUGGCAAGGCCUUCCACUACAGUUCAUUUCUCCUCCAGCACCAGAAGCUCCACCCCAGGGAAUAGCCCUGGUGGCUGUGCUCUCACCAUGUCCUAUGUCACCUCUCACCAUCCUGAAGGCCUGAGGCAGCACAUCACCCUCGUCCUGUACCUCACAGGCUCUCAUUGCUUCUCUCCCCUAUGCUGGGCUUUCCCCCCUCACCUGCUCCUUUUUCCAUUUUCUUUCCCUUUAAAAGUUUUUAACAUUUUUUUUAGCUGUAAUUCACAUACCUUAAGUUCAUCCUUCUAAAGUGUACAAUUCAGUGGUUUUUAGUAUAGUCACAAGGUUAUGCAACCAUCAGCACUGUCUAAUUCCAGAACACUUUUAUCACCCCAAAAAGAAACUCCAUACCCUUUAGCACUCUCUAUUCUCCCUGUCCCCCCAGCCCCUGACACCCAGUCAUCUGCUUUCUGCCUCUGUGGAUUUGCCUGUUCUAGAUAUUUUGUGUAAAUGAUCCCUUUGCAUUUUCUGUCCAUCAGUAGAUACACCCCAGGUGUCCUAAUCCAAGGAAUCCUUUGCUUUCCCCAACCAACCUCAUCUCAUCCAUCAAACACUGGGCUGGGCUUUGGCCUGUGGGCAGCACUGGUUGCCUUCAUUUCCUUGGGUCUUGGGCUUCCUUGUGGGUUUCUGCCUUCUGCUGUCAUACUUCUUUUUUUUUUUAAAGAUUGGCACCUGAGCUAACAACUGUUGCCAAUCUCCUUUUUUUUUUCU
Molecule: long non-coding RNA, 2159 nt
Organism: Equus quagga
Lineage: Eukaryota; Metazoa; Chordata; Mammalia; Perissodactyla; Equidae
Exons: 3
Source: RefSeq, a predicted model, not a curated record